Molecule: ribosomal RNA, 497 nt
Filed under: uncultured bacterium
Lineage: Bacteria
Description: partial 16S ribosomal RNA
Rfam family: Bacterial small subunit ribosomal RNA
Source: RNAcentral
GAUGAACGCUGGCGGCGUGCCUAAUACAUGCAAGUCGAGCGAACGGACGAGAAGCUUGCUUCUCUGAUGUUAGCGGCGGACGGGUGAGUAACACGUGGAUACCCUCCCUAUAAGACUGGGAUAACUUCGGGAAACCGGAGCCAAUACCGGAUAAUAUUUUGAACCGCAUGGUUCAAAAGUGAAAGACGGUCUUGCUGUCACUUAUAGAUGGAUCCUCGCUGCAUUAGCUAGUUGGUGAGGUAACGGCUUACCAAGGCAACGAUGCAUAGCCGACCUGAGAGGGUGAUCGGCCACACUGGAACUGAGACACGGUCCAGACUCCUACGGGAGGCAGCAGUAGGGAAUCUUCCGCAAUGGGCGAAAGCCUGACGGAGCAACGCCGCGUGAGUGAUGAAGGUCUUCGGAUCGUAAAACUCUGUUAUUAGGGAAGAACAUAUGUGUAAGUAACUGUGCACAUCUUGACGGUACCUAAUCAGAAAGCCACGGCUAACUACGUG